Hyalella azteca is the source of this 435-nucleotide long non-coding RNA. RefSeq lists it as uncharacterized. Lineage: Eukaryota; Metazoa; Arthropoda; Malacostraca; Amphipoda; Hyalellidae. The record is from RefSeq and is a predicted model, not a curated record. The transcript has 3 exons.
ACUGAGAGCAGACGGGUCUAGUAUCGGCCCGGAGGCUUCUGAUGUUUUGUGUCCAGGUCUUGCAGCUCCUCCGGACGUAUCCUGUUCACAAGAAGAGGACUUGAGCCUCAAGGUGCACUGGACUACGCCAUCAACGACUUGUGAAAUUUCGCAGUAUAGCGUAAACUAUACAGCCGCGGUCAUGUGGUCCGAGGAAGUCUACAAGAACUACUCUCUCGUCGACGCGGCGACGUCGGAAUACGUCCUUCAACGGCCAAUCCCAUACACUUUUUACAUCUUCGAAGUUAGAGCCGUUGUGGCAGGCUGUGGUCACGGUGAACCUCGUUUUUGUCCAGUGAAAACAAAAGAAGAGCCCCCGUCCGCCCCGGUGUCGCUGAGAGUGACAGCAAAUACAGCGAAGAGCCUGAGCAUCGCAUGGAAAUAUCCGGCAGAAAU